This 423-nucleotide ribosomal RNA is filed under the name uncultured bacterium. Its description in RNAcentral is "bacterial SSU rRNA". It matches the Rfam family "Bacterial small subunit ribosomal RNA", at positions 356 to 773 of the family's 1533-position model. The record is from RNAcentral.
GGGGAGUUUUGGACAAUGGGGGCAACCCUGAUCCAGCAAUGCCGCGUGUGUGACGAAGGCCUUCGGGUUGUAAAGCACUUUUGGUGGGAACGAAACGGCGCCGGCUAAUACCUGGCGCUAAUGACGGUACCCGCAGAAUAAGCACCGGCUAACUACGUGCCAGCAGCCGCGGUAAUACGUAGGUGCGAGCGUUAAUCGGAAUUACUGGGCGUAAAGCGUGCGCAGGCGGUUUUGCAAGACAGAUGUGAAAUCCCCGGGCUCAACCUGGAACUGCAUUUGUGACUGCAAGGCUAGAGUGUGUCAGAGGGAGGUGGAAUUCCGCGUGUAGCAGUGAAAUGCGUAGAGAUGCGGAGGAACACCGAUGGCGAAGGCAGCCUCCUGGGAUAACACUGACGCUCAUGCACGAAAGCGUGGGGAGCAAAC